UACAGAGGUCUCAAGCGUUGUUCGGAUUCAUUGGGCGUAAAGGGUGUGUAGGUGGCGCGCUAAGUCGGGUGUGAAAUUUCGGAGCUUAACUCCGAAACUGCAUUCGAUACUGGCGUGCUUGAGGACUGGAGAGGAGACUGGAAUUCAUGGUGUAGCAGUGAAAUGCGUAGAGAUCGGGAGGAACACCUGUGGCGAAAGCGGCUCACUGGACCACAACUGACGCUGAUGCGCGAAAGCUAGGGGAGCAAACAGG
This 253-nucleotide ribosomal RNA is filed under the name uncultured bacterium. Its description in RNAcentral is "partial 16S ribosomal RNA". It matches the Rfam family "Bacterial small subunit ribosomal RNA", at positions 524 to 776 of the family's 1533-position model. The record is from RNAcentral.